This 700-nucleotide ribosomal RNA is filed under the name Streptomyces violascens. RNAcentral's name for it is "bacterial SSU rRNA". It matches the Rfam family "Bacterial small subunit ribosomal RNA", at positions 40 to 755 of the family's 1533-position model. The record is from RNAcentral. Lineage: Bacteria; Bacillati; Actinomycetota; Actinomycetes; Kitasatosporales; Streptomycetaceae.
CGGGGGGGGCUUACACAUGCAAGUCGAACGAUGACCGCUUUCGGGCGGGGAUUAGUGGCGAACGGGUGAGUAACACGUGGGCAAUCUGCCCUGCACUCUGGGACAAGCCCUGGAAACGGGGUCUAAUACCGGAUAUGACUGUCCAUCGCAUGGUGGAUGGUGUAAAGCUCCGGCGGUGCAGGAUGAGCCCGCGGCCUAUCAGCUUGUUGGUGAGGUAGUGGCUCACCAAGGCGACGACGGGUAGCCGGCCUGAGAGGGCGACCGGCCACACUGGGACUGAGACACGGCCCAGACUCCUACGGGAGGCAGCAGUGGGGAAUAUUGCACAAUGGGCGAAAGCCUGAUGCAGCGACGCCGCGUGAGGGAUGACGGCCUUCGGGUUGUAAACCUCUUUCAGCAGGGAAGAAGCGAAAGUGACGGUACCUGCAGAAGAAGCGCCGGCUAACUACGUGCCAGCAGCCGCGGUAAUACGUAGGGCGCAAGCGUUGUCCGGAAUUAUUGGGCGUAAAGAGCUCGUAGGCGGCUUGUCACGUCGGUUGUGAAAGCCCGGGGCUUAACCCCGGGUCUGCAGUCGAUACGGGCAGGCUAGAGUUCGGUAGGGGAGAUCGGAAUUCCUGGUGUAGCGGUGAAAUGCGCAGAUAUCAGGAGGAACACCGGUGGCGAAGGCGGAUCUCUGGGCCGAUACUGACGCUGAGGAGCG